UACGGAGGGUGCGAGCGUUGUCCGGAAUCAUUGGGCGUAAAGGGCGCGUAGGUGGCCCGGUCAGUUCGUGGUGAAAGCGCGGGGCUCAACCCUGCGUCGGCCAUGAAUACUGCCGCGGCUGGAGCACUGUAGAGGCAGGCGGAAUUCCGGGUGUAGCGGUGGAAUGCGUAGAGAUCCGGAGGAACACCGAUGGCGAAGGCAGCCUUCUGGGCCAACACUGACGCUCAUGCACGAAAGCGUGGGGAGCAAACAGG
RNAcentral lists this ribosomal RNA (254 nucleotides) under uncultured bacterium. RNAcentral describes it as "partial 16S ribosomal RNA". It matches the Rfam family "Bacterial small subunit ribosomal RNA", at positions 524 to 776 of the family's 1533-position model. The record is from RNAcentral.